CGCUGAAGAGAUUUGCGGGGCUCAGAUCUCAGCACGGAUAUCUGGAGAGUGUGGGGUCAGGGAAGAGCAGCAAGAGGAAUGGAUAUCCAGAUAUAGGGCACACUCAACAGAGAGAGAGAGAAAGAGAGAGGAGAGAGAGAGGAGAGAGAGGAGAGAGUCCUUGCACACAAUGCUUCCGUGUAUUGCUGUACUCCACCCCUUGGUCUACAGCCAUAGCCGUACUUGGCAGAGCACAAGACUCUCUGUGGUUCUGCCUCUUGGCAUCAUGUUGUUUUUUGAUCUUUGACCCCGCAAACAACAACUAACAUGAGGACAACUGCUGGGAAGAGGCUGAAGCAAUUGCAGCAUGAUCACACAAGUGAUAACCACCAAGCCAAAGGGACAGGAAGCUCUCGGCAUUGUUGGUGUUUUACUCAAGCCAUGGUAAAUAACUAGAAGUUCAAUGCCUGGAUCAUGUAGCAGCUACCUGGUUAAAACGAAACAAAGAUGUAAGUUUGGGGUUUAUUUUUGACCAUUAAAGAGCACUCAGUUUGUGGUUGUAAUAUGCUUCCUGCAAUAUAGUAAGCCUUAAAACGAAAGUGUCUCUUGCACAGCCUAGA
Molecule: long non-coding RNA, 599 nt
Filed under: Homo sapiens (human)
Lineage: Eukaryota; Metazoa; Chordata; Mammalia; Primates; Hominidae
Description: HSALNT0331557
Source: RNAcentral